This 497-nucleotide ribosomal RNA is filed under the name uncultured bacterium. Its description in RNAcentral is "partial 16S ribosomal RNA". It matches the Rfam family "Bacterial small subunit ribosomal RNA", at positions 28 to 507 of the family's 1533-position model. The record is from RNAcentral.
GAUGAACGCUGGCGGCGUGCCUAAUACAUGCCAGUCGAGCGAACAGACGAGGAGCUUGCUCCUUGGACGUUAGCGGCGGACGGGUGAGUAACGCGUGUAUAACCUACCUAUAAGACGGGGAUAACUUCGGGAAACCGGAGCUAAUACCGGAUAACAUGCUGCACCGCAUUGUUCAACAGUGAAAGACGGUGGUUGUGGCUCGUCUAGAUGCAUCCGCGCCGCAUUAGCUAGUUGGUAAGGUAACGGCUUACCAAGGCGACGAUGCGUAGCCGACCGGAGAGGGUGAUAGGCGACCUUAGAGGUGGGACACGGACCAGGCUACUAAGGGAGGCAGCAGUAGGGAAUGUGACGCAAUGGGCGAAAGCCUGACGGAGCAACGCCGCGUGAGAGAAGAAGGUCUCCGGAGCGUAAUACCCUGUUAUUAGGGGAGAACAGAUGUGUACGUAAAUAUGGACGUAGUGACGGUACCUAGUCAGAAAGCAACGGCUAACUACGUG